UACCCAACAACUCCUAUCCCUACCUCUUCGUAGUACUGGCCGGAGUACGAGUAGCCUUGGGGAAGAUCGGGUAACCAAACCUGGUGGGAACUUUGGUCGUAUGCUGACAGGGAAGG
Molecule: ribozyme, 116 nt
Filed under: Aedes aegypti (yellow fever mosquito)
Lineage: Eukaryota; Metazoa; Arthropoda; Insecta; Diptera; Culicidae
Description: drz-agam-1 ribozyme
Rfam family: drz-agam-1 ribozyme
Source: Rfam by way of RNAcentral